UGCCAGCAGCCGCGGUAAUUCCAGCUCCAAUAGCGUAUAUUAAAGUUGUUGCAGUUAAAAAGCUCGUAGUUGGAUCUGGGGUUCGGGUCGGCGGUUUGCCGCUUCGGCGGCUACUGCCGUGCUCGACUCUUACUAGCCGGUGCGUCUUGCGGUGCUCUUCAUCGAGUGCCGUAGGAGCCUGGCAUGUUUACUUUGAAAAAAUUAGAGUGCUCAAAGCAGGCGAUUCCGCCUGAAUAGUGUUGCAUGGAAUAAUGGAAUAGGACCUCGGUUCUAUUUUGUUGGUUUUCGGAACUUGAGGUAAUGAUUAAGAGGGACGGUCGGGGGCAUUCGUAUUUCGGUGUUAGAGGUGAAAUUCUUGGAUCGCUGAAAGACGGACAAAUGCGAAAGCAUCUGCCAAGAACGUCUCCAUUAAUCAAGAACGAAAGUCAGAGGUUCGAAGACGAUCAGACACCGUCCUAGUUCUGACCAUAAACGAUGCCAACUAGCGAUCCGCAGUGGUUGCUAUAAACGGACUCUGCGAGCAGCUUCCGGGAAACCAAAGUGUUUGGGUUCCGGGGGAAGUGUGGUUGCAAAGCUGAAACUUAAAGGAAUUGACGGAAGGGCACCACCAGGAGUGGAGCCUGCGGCUUAAUUUGACCCAACACGGGGAAACUCACCCGGUCCGGACACUGUAAGGAUUGACAGAUCGAGAGCUCUUUCUUGAUUCGGUGGAUGGUGGUGCAUGGCCGUUCUUAGUUGGUGGAGUGAUUUGUCUGGUUAAUUCCGAUAACGAACGAGACUCUAGCCUGCUAACUAGUUGCGCCGUGUUCAUACGCGGCUGUAGACUUCUUAGAGGGACAGGUGGCGUUUAGCCACACGAAAUUGAGCAAUAACAGGUCUGUGAUGCCCUUAGAUGUCCGGGGCCGCACGCGCGCUACACUGAAGGAGUCAGCGUGUGCUAUCCGGGCUCGGAAGAGUUCGGUAACCCGUUGAAACUCCUUCGUGCUUGGGAUUGUGGCUUGUAAUUAUCGCGCAUGAACGAGGAAUUCCCAGUAAGUGCAAGUCAUCAGCUUGCGCUGACUACGUCCCUGCCCUUUGUACACACCGCCCGUCGCUACUACCGAUUGAAUGGUUUAGCAAGGUGCUCGGAUUGGUCUCGAUCUUGUACGAAAGUGCGGGAUCUGUGGCC
RNAcentral lists this ribosomal RNA (1168 nucleotides) under metagenome. Its description in RNAcentral is "SSU rRNA". It matches the Rfam family "Eukaryotic small subunit ribosomal RNA", at positions 565 to 1748 of the family's 1831-position model. The record is from RNAcentral.